This is a long non-coding RNA of Silurus meridionalis, 1402 nucleotides long. RefSeq lists it as uncharacterized. The record is from RefSeq and is a predicted model, not a curated record. The transcript has 2 exons. Lineage: Eukaryota; Metazoa; Chordata; Actinopteri; Siluriformes; Siluridae.
GCCAGCUGAUCGGAGGAGAAGCCGGUAUGAGAGGAGUAGAAGAGAAACGGACAGACUCAGGGAGGAGAUGUGAACACCGUGAAGACGGACACGCACUGACGCCAGAGCCCGACUUAAUGGAACAAUCUUAAUUAAUCCAGUUGAUAACAAGGUUGAUCCUCUCUAUCACUUGGAGUGUCCAGAGCAUGUCCAGCUGCCCACUGGCUGACCCGCAGCAGUUCUUCACUGGCAAGCUUUAUGUCCUUGUGUAUCAGCUAAAGCUGCCAGCUGAAGAACUGUUGUGGUUGGCUCUUUCCUGGCACCCCAGCCUAGAAUGAGACUAUCAAAUCAUGAGUUGGGGGAAUCGGACACAAGCCUGAUGGUAGAAAACUCAAAAUCAAUCUCAGGUUUUUAAACCUAAUUCGUUUAUCCACCUCAUCCCAAUUUCCCCUCAUGCCCCAUUUGGAAGGUGUCACGUGAGCUGUCUGGGCCUGGCUCUGCAUUCUCUGCAAGCAUAAACUAAACCUACUGGCAAGGCCCAUGCUGAGUCAGCAACAUUCCUAAAUGGAUGAGAUGCUCCUGCCCUUAUUUGGGUGUGGAACAGGCCAGGGAAACACCCUUUCAACCUGUCUACUGCUGAUCAAAAUAUUUUACAUGGUUAAAGGAAGAAGUGCAGUUCUCUUAUGGAUGUUACUGUGUUCUCUGGACACAAGCCCAGGCCUUUACAUGUGUUUCUGUUUAUGAAUAAGUCACCAGGUUCUUCCAGAGUAUGAACAAAAAACACACAUGCUGGACUUGCAUCUGUAACUUCCCCUUUUUUUCCCCCCAGGGCCCUGCUGUGGUAUGUGAUUUUGGGUUUAUUUGUUCGGCUUAUGCAUACUGUGCAUGAGUACAACCACUGACACUCUUGGAUAUACACAUGCAUACACACAUGCGUGCGUGCGUGCGUGCACACACACACACACACACACACACACACACACACAUACACAGUGCCUGACCCUUAGCAAGCAAUAGGCCUCACUUCAAGGGCAACAGCAGUGCUGCAAACAGGAUAUGAAAAUGUCUUGAGCCUCCUAACCAGAUGAAAAGUGAGGUAGAAAAUGUUCUUGUCACUCAGCAGAACCAGAUGCCCAUGGUAUGAAAAGUGAAGCCCACACUUUCUAUGUUUUUGUUCUGCUUCAUCUCUGAGGAUCUGUCAGGAUCAGUAUUUUUGACUCUUGUAAAUGUUUGUUAGGUAACUUUAUUUAUUUGUUUAAAGAAUGCAAGACUUUUUAAGAAUACAUUUUGCAAUUUUUGCAUUUUACACUCUUACUUAAUCAUGGUCUUUACAUGAAUAUUAAUAAAAAGUUUAUAUAUAUAUAUAUAUAUAUUUUUAUUUUUAUUAUUAUUUUGAAGUGCAUUAUAAAUGAUUUUAACAACA